CCUACGGGAGGCAGCAGUGGGGAAUAUUGCACAAUGGGCGCAAGCCUGAUGCAGCCAUGCCGCGUGUGUGAAGAAGGCCUUCGGGUUGUAAAGCACUUUCAGUCAGGAGGAAAGGGUGUGAGUUAAUACCUCACAUCUGUGACGUUACUGACAGAAGAAGCACCGGCUAAGUCCGUGCCAGCAGCCGCGGUAAU
RNAcentral lists this ribosomal RNA (194 nucleotides) under uncultured Pseudoalteromonas sp. Its description in RNAcentral is "partial 16S ribosomal RNA". It matches the Rfam family "Bacterial small subunit ribosomal RNA", at positions 338 to 524 of the family's 1533-position model. The record is from RNAcentral. Lineage: Bacteria; Pseudomonadati; Pseudomonadota; Gammaproteobacteria; Alteromonadales; Pseudoalteromonadaceae.